CCUACGGGUGGCAGCAGUGAGGAAUAUUGGUCAAUGGGAGGAAUCCUGAACCAGCCAUGCCGCGUGCAGGACGACGGCUCUACGAGUUGUAAACUGCUUUUGUAACGGGGUAAAAUGCUCUACGCGGAGGGUUUUGAAAGUAAGGUACGAAUAAGGAUAGGCUAACUCUGUGCCAGCAGCCGCGGUAAUACGGAGGAUCCGAGUGUUAUCCGGAUUCAUUGGGUGUAAAGGGUGCGUAGGUUGUUUUAUAAGUGAGCAGUGAAAUACUGAUUCUAAACAUCGGGGCUGCCGCUGAUACUGUAGGACUAGAGAUCGGAUGCAGCAAGCGGAAUGUGUAGUGUAGCGGUGAAAUGCAUAGAUAUUACACAGAACACCGAUUGCGAAGGCAGCUUACUAGGCCGGAUCUGACACUGAUGCACGAAAGCGUGGGGAUCGAACAGGAUUAGAUACCCGAGUAGUC
RNAcentral lists this ribosomal RNA (460 nucleotides) under uncultured bacterium. RNAcentral describes it as "partial 16S ribosomal RNA". It matches the Rfam family "Bacterial small subunit ribosomal RNA", at positions 338 to 795 of the family's 1533-position model. The record is from RNAcentral.